RNAcentral lists this ribosomal RNA (112 nucleotides) under Neogale vison (American mink). The record is from RNAcentral. Lineage: Eukaryota; Metazoa; Chordata; Mammalia; Carnivora; Mustelidae.
UAUGGCCAUACCACCCUGAACGCGCCCGAUCUCGUCUGAUCUCGGAAGCUAAGCAGGGUCGGGCCUGGUUAGUACUUGGAUGGGAGAUCUUUGCAGGUGGGUCUUUCCCUAC